This 436-nucleotide ribosomal RNA is filed under the name Gogorevia uniseriata. RNAcentral's name for it is "SSU rRNA". It matches the Rfam family "Eukaryotic small subunit ribosomal RNA", at positions 581 to 1028 of the family's 1831-position model. Lineage: Eukaryota; Bacillariophyta; Bacillariophyceae; Cocconeidales; Achnanthidiaceae. The record is from RNAcentral.
AAUUCCAGCUCCAAUAGCGUAUAUUAAAGUUGUUGCAGUUAAAAAGCUCGUAGUUGGAUUUCUGGUGUCCCCCAAGGUCCCAACUUGGGUGCUGUUGGGGGCUGCCAUCCGUGGGUGGAACCUGUGUGGCAUUAGGUUGUCGUGCAGGGGAUGCCCACCGUUUACUNUGAAAAAAUCAGCGCGUUCAAAGCAGGCUUAUGCCGUUGAAUGUAUUAGCAUGGAAUAAUAAGAUAGGACCUGGGUACUAUUUUGUUGGUUUGCGCACCGAGGUAAUGAUUAAGAGGGACAGUUGGGGGUCUUCGUAUUCCAUUGUCAGAGGUGAAAUUCUUGGAUUUCUGGAAGACGAACUACUGCGAAAGCAUUGACCAAGGAUGUUUUCAUUAAUCAAGAACGAAAGUAAGGGGAUCGAAGAUGAUUAGAUACCAUCGUAGUCUUA